CCCCGCUGCUGCUGCUGCUGCUGCUGUCGCCGGGUCUCAACCGUUCUAGCAGCUUCGAGCCAGGCCGGGUUUAUGCUGCUAUGCAGCGCCGCGAGGGCUGCCCGGGUCACAGGUUUAUCCCGCGUGGAGAUCGGGGUAAGCGGGUCGAGGUGAGUCUGGGCCCACUCCAGCCACGCCGUCCUAGGGAGGGUUGCCAGAUCGCUGCUCUCUGCCAGGGUCCAAACCCGCACCAGGUCCCCUACCGUCUGUAGUUUCCUGCAGGUGGCAAGCCCAGGGUAUUGGUGCUCCAGGCCGGGGCGGCGGCCCCGGUCCGUCGGGUCGGUCCCUCCAGCAUUGGGGAAUAGGGGAUUUCCCCAUAAUGCAGUCGCCCAGCACCAGUCACCGGGUGUCAGCGG
This 395-nucleotide long non-coding RNA is filed under the name Volvox carteri. Its description in RNAcentral is "long non-coding RNA (VCAR_LNC003741)". Lineage: Eukaryota; Viridiplantae; Chlorophyta; Chlorophyceae; Chlamydomonadales; Volvocaceae. The record is from RNAcentral.